UGUAAGCGUAUACCAAAGUUGUUGCAGUUAAAACGCUCGUAGUCGGAAUUUGGCAGUUCCGGAUGUGUGCACGUCGUGUGCGCACUUCGCGGGGAUUGCUUUUGUGGUCUUGCGUAGGAUGAGGUACUUUUAUUAGUGAACGUCCUCACGCAACCACUUUUUACUGUGAGGAAAUCAGAGUGCUCAAAGCAGGCAUUUGCCGUGAAUGUAUUAGCAUGGAAUAAUAGAAUAGGACUUGGUUCUAUUUUGUUGGUUUGUUGGGACUGAGUAAUGAUUAAGAGGGACAGUUGGGGGCAUUUGUAUUUCGGUGCUAGAGGUGAAAUUCUUAGAUUACCGAAAGACAAACUGCUGCGAAAGCGUCUGCCAAAGAUGUUUUCAUUGA
Molecule: ribosomal RNA, 382 nt
Filed under: uncultured eukaryote
Lineage: Eukaryota
Description: partial 18S ribosomal RNA
Rfam family: Eukaryotic small subunit ribosomal RNA
Source: RNAcentral